GACGAACGCUGGCGGCGUGCUUAACACAUGCAAGUCGAACGGAAAGGCCCUGCUUUUGUGGGGUGCUCGAGUGGCGAACGGGUGAGUAACACGUGAGUAACCUGCCCUUGACUUUGGGAUAACUUCAGGAAACUGGGGCUAAUACCGGAUAGGAGCUCCUGCUGCAUGGUGGGGGUUGGAAAGUUUCGGCGGUUGGGGAUGGACUCGCGGCUUAUCAGCUUGUUGGUGGGGUAGUGGCUUACCAAGGCUUUGACGGGUAGCCGGCCUGAGAAGGUGACCGGCCACAUGGGGCCUGAGAUACGGCCCAGACUCCUACGGGGGGGAGGGGUGGGGAAUUUUGCAAAAGGGGCGGAAGCCUGAUGCAGAAACCCCGGGGGGGGGAUGACGGCCUUCGGGUGGUAAACCGUUUUCGCCUGGGACGAAGCGGGGGUGACGGUAAUGGGGAAAGAAGCACCGGCUAACUACGG
Molecule: ribosomal RNA, 467 nt
Filed under: uncultured bacterium
Lineage: Bacteria
Description: partial 16S ribosomal RNA
Rfam family: Bacterial small subunit ribosomal RNA
Source: RNAcentral